UUUUUGUCAUCCCCGGUUUAGCCAUCUAUUAAGCCAGCUACAUGAUUCAUAUCAAGACCAAUGCGGGAUUAAGGAUCAAGUUUACCGGCGAUUGCAACAUCAUCUUCAUCAUCACCAUCCGAGGCAUAUUCAUCUUCACUCAUUUCAUCAUCACUAGACAUUUCCUCAGUAUCCGCCCUUGGCUUUGCGUAUUUCUCACAAUACUCUGAAACCGAGCAAGAAGAUAAGAUAAUGUAGGGUAACAAGAAUCUAAUCAACUCAAUAUCUAACCUUUAACUCUCUGUUCAUAGGUAGGACGAUCACGC
RNAcentral lists this small RNA (305 nucleotides) under Arabidopsis thaliana (thale cress). RNAcentral's name for it is "ATSL063870". Lineage: Eukaryota; Viridiplantae; Streptophyta; Magnoliopsida; Brassicales; Brassicaceae. The record is from RNAcentral.